GAACGGGUGAGUAAUGCAUCGGAACGUGCCCAGUCGUGGGGGAUAACUGCUCGAAAGAGCAGCUAAUACCGCAUACGACCUGAGGGUGAAAGCGGGGGACCGUAAGGCCUCGCGCGAUUGGAGCGGCCGAUGUCAGAUUAGCUAGUUGGUGGGGUAAAGGCCUACCAAGGCAACGAUCUGUAGUUGGUCUGAGAGGACGACCAGCCACACUGGGACUGAGACACGGCCCAGACUCCUACGGGAGGCAGCAGUGGGGAAUUUUGGACAAUGGGCGCAAGCCUGAUCCAGCAAUGCCGCGUGCAGGAAGAAGGCCUUCGGGUUGUAAACUGCUUUUGUCAGG
RNAcentral lists this ribosomal RNA (340 nucleotides) under uncultured bacterium. RNAcentral's name for it is "bacterial SSU rRNA". It matches the Rfam family "Bacterial small subunit ribosomal RNA", at positions 100 to 443 of the family's 1533-position model. The record is from RNAcentral.